This 496-nucleotide ribosomal RNA is filed under the name uncultured bacterium. Its description in RNAcentral is "partial 16S ribosomal RNA". It matches the Rfam family "Bacterial small subunit ribosomal RNA", at positions 28 to 507 of the family's 1533-position model. The record is from RNAcentral.
GAUGAACGCUGGCGGCGUGCCUAAUACAUGCAAGUCGAGCGAACGGACGAGAAGCUCUCUUCUCUGCUGUUAGCGGCGGACGGGUGAGUAACACGUGGAUAACCUUCCUAUAAGACUGGGAUAACUUCGGGAAACCGUAUCUAAUACCGGAUCAUAUUUUGAACCGCAUGGUUCAAAAGUGCAAGACGGUCUUGCUGUCACUUUUAGCUGUAUCCGCGCUGCAUUAGUUAGUUGGUAAGGUAACGGCUUACCAAGGCAACGAUGCAUAGUGGACCUGAUAGGGGAACCGGCCACACUGAAACGAAGACAGGGUCAAGAUCCCUAGGGAAGGAAGAAGUAGGAAAAUUUGCGAAAGGGGGGAAGCCUGAACGGAGCAACGCGGGGGGAGGAAGGAGGGUCUUGGGAUGGUAAAACCCUGUUAUGAGGGAAGAACAUAUGAGGAAGUACUGUGGACAUCUUGACGGUACCUAAACAGAAAGCCACGGCUAACUACGUG